This 230-nucleotide ribosomal RNA is filed under the name uncultured Pseudomonadales bacterium. Its description in RNAcentral is "partial 16S ribosomal RNA". It matches the Rfam family "Bacterial small subunit ribosomal RNA", at positions 524 to 756 of the family's 1533-position model. The record is from RNAcentral. Lineage: Bacteria; Pseudomonadati; Pseudomonadota; Gammaproteobacteria; Pseudomonadales.
UACAGAGGGUGCGAGCGUUAAUCGGAUUUACUGGGCGUAAAGCGUGCGUAGGCGGCUUUUUAAGUCGGAUGUGAAAUCCUGAGCUUAACUAGGAAUUGCAUUCGAUACUGGGAAGCUAGAGUAUGGGAGAGGAUGGUAGAAUUCCAGGUGUAGCGGUGAAAUGCGUAGAGAUCUGGAGGAAUACCGAUGGCGAAGCAGCCAUCUGGCAUAAUACUGACGCUGAGGUACGA